This 393-nucleotide ribosomal RNA is filed under the name uncultured bacterium. Its description in RNAcentral is "partial 16S ribosomal RNA". It matches the Rfam family "Bacterial small subunit ribosomal RNA", at positions 523 to 918 of the family's 1533-position model. The record is from RNAcentral.
AUACGGAGGAUCCAAGCGUCAUCCGGAUUUAUUGGGUUUAAAGGGUGCGUAGGUGGACUGGUAAGUCAGCUGUGAAAGUUUGCGGCUUAACCGUAAAAUUGCAGUUGAUACUGUCAGUCUUGAGUGUGCAUGAGGUGGGCGGAAUUUGUGGUGUAGCGGUGAAAUGCUUAGAUAUCACGAGGAACUCCAAUUGCGAAGGCAGCUCACUGGGGCAUAACUGACGCUGAUGCACGAAGGUGUGGGUAUCAAACAGGAUUAGAUACCCUGGUAGUCCACACAGUAAACUAUGAAUACUCGCUGUUUGCGAUAUACAGUAAGCGGCCAAGCGAAAGCAUUAAGUAUUCCACCUGGGGAGUACGCCGGCAACGGUGAAACUCAAAUGAAUUGACGGGG